CGGACGGGUUAGUAACGCGUGGGAACAUACCCUUUUCUACGGAAUAGCCUCGGGAAACUGAGAGUAAUACCGUAUAAGCCCUUCGGGGGAAAGAUUUAUCGGGAAAGGAUUGGCCCGCGUUAGAUUAGAUAGUUGGUGGGGUAAUGGCCUACCAAGUCUACGAUCUAUAGCUGGUUUUAGAGGAUGAUCAGCAACACUGGGACUGAGACACGGCCCAGACUCCUACGGGAGGCAGCAGUGGGGAAUCUUAGACAAUGGGCGAAAGCCUGAUCUAGCCAUGCCGCGUGAGUGAUGAAGGUCUUAGGAUCGUAAAGCUCUUUCGCUAGGGAUGAUAAUGACAGUACCUAGUAAAGAAGCCCCGGCUAACUCCGUGCCAGCAGCCGCGGUAAUACGGAGGGGGCUAGCGUUGUUCGGAAUUACUGGGCGUAAAGCGUACGUAGGCGGAUCAGAAAGUAUGGGGUGAAAUCCCAGGGCUCAACCCUGGAACUGCCUCAUAAACUCCUGGUCUUGAGUUCGAGAGAGGUGAGUGGAAUUGCGAGUGUAGAGGUGAAAUUCGU
Molecule: ribosomal RNA, 557 nt
Filed under: uncultured bacterium
Lineage: Bacteria
Description: bacterial SSU rRNA
Rfam family: Bacterial small subunit ribosomal RNA
Source: RNAcentral